CCUACGGGAGGCAGCAGUGGGGAAUAUUGGACAAUGGGGGGAACCCUGAUCCAGCCAUGCCGCGUGUGUGAAGAAGGCCCUCGGGUUGUAAAGCACUUUCAGUGAGGAAGAACGCCUGGUGGUUAAUACCCAUCAGGAAAGACAUCACUCACAGAAGAAGCACCGGCUAACUCCGUGCCAGCAGCCGCGGUAAUACGGAGGGUGCGAGCGUUAAUCGGAAUUACUGGGCGUAAAGCGCGCGUAGGUGGCUUGAUAAGCCGGUUGUGAAAGCCCCGGGCUCAACCUGGGAACUGCAUCCGGAACUGUCAAGCUAGAGUGCAGGAGAGGAAGGUAGAAUUCCCGGUGUAGCGGUGAAAUGCGUAGAGAUCGGGAGGAAUACCAGUGGCGAAGGCGGCCUUCUGGACUGACACUGACACUGAGGUGCGAAAGCGUGGGUAGCAAACAGGAUUAGAUACCCGUGUAGUC
This 465-nucleotide ribosomal RNA is filed under the name Vreelandella stevensii. RNAcentral describes it as "partial 16S ribosomal RNA". It matches the Rfam family "Bacterial small subunit ribosomal RNA", at positions 338 to 795 of the family's 1533-position model. The record is from RNAcentral. Lineage: Bacteria; Pseudomonadati; Pseudomonadota; Gammaproteobacteria; Oceanospirillales; Halomonadaceae.